UCAGUAACGGCGAGUGAAGCGGCAAAAGCUCAAAUUUGAAACCCUCGGGAUUGUAAUUUGAAGAUUUGGCAUUGGAGAAAGCUAACCCAAGUUGCUUGGAAUAGUACGUCAUAGAGGGUGACAACCCCGUCUGGCUAACCGUUCUCCAUGUAUUGCCUUAUCAAAGAGUCGAGUUGUUUGGGAAUGCAGCUCAAAGUGGGUGGUAAACUCCAUCUAAAGCUAAAUACUGGUGAGAGACCGAUAGCGAACAAGUACUGUGAAGGAAAGGUGAAAAGAACUUUGAAAAGAGAGUGAAAUAGUAUGUGAAAUUGUUGAUAGGGAAGGAAAUGAGUGGAGAGUGGCCGAGGUUUCAGCCGCCCCUCGUGGGCGGUGUACUGCCGACGCCGAGUCAUCGAUAGCGAGACGAGGGUUACAAAUGGGAGCGCCUUCGGGCGUUCUCCCCUAACCCUCCACACUGCCACCGACGACAUAAUCCACCCAUUUCACCCGUCUUGAAACACGGACCA
RNAcentral lists this ribosomal RNA (506 nucleotides) under Yarrowia lipolytica. Its description in RNAcentral is "LSU rRNA". It matches the Rfam family "Eukaryotic large subunit ribosomal RNA", at positions 80 to 668 of the family's 3401-position model. The record is from RNAcentral. Lineage: Eukaryota; Fungi; Ascomycota; Dipodascomycetes; Dipodascales.